AUAGCGAGUUCCGGCGGAAGAGCAGCAGCAGAAACAAAGUCAUCAAAAAUCAUCAAAUCAAAUCAAUCCAAUAAAUGAUCAACGGGAAGGCAGAAAAUGCGCCACGUUCAACACUCCCACCCAACAUCCACGAAAAUAUUUCCAUGCCAUCUUCUCCCCUCCGAUAUCGCAACAGCAUUUUGAAGGACUUGAGAAAAGAUUUUCAAGCGUCCAGUCGUGAUGUCUUCUUCGCGGUACAACGGUGCAGCCCGCAUCUGGCCUUCUGGACUCACCGCAACUGACGGUAAAACGGAAAAAAUGCUCCAUCGGUAACGUCGCGUAUUAUGAAAAGGUAAUCUGAACCCGGAAAUUCCAAUAAACGUGGAAAUACAAACACAGCAAUUCAGAAUUGAAAUUCCUUAGCAGAUAUAAAGAUAAG
This is a long non-coding RNA of Uranotaenia lowii, 418 nucleotides long. RefSeq lists it as uncharacterized. The record is from RefSeq and is a predicted model, not a curated record. NCBI's taxonomy places the organism in Eukaryota, Metazoa, Arthropoda, Insecta, Diptera, Culicidae. The transcript has 3 exons.